RNAcentral lists this ribosomal RNA (465 nucleotides) under uncultured bacterium. RNAcentral's name for it is "partial 16S ribosomal RNA". It matches the Rfam family "Bacterial small subunit ribosomal RNA", at positions 28 to 506 of the family's 1533-position model. The record is from RNAcentral.
GAUGAACGCUGGCGGCGUGCUUAACACAUGCAAGUCGAACGAUGAAGCCCAGCUUGCUGGGUGGAUUAGUGGCGAACGGGUGAGUAACACGUGAGUAACCUGCCCUUGACUCUGGGAUAAGCCUGGGAAACUGGGUCUAAUACUGGAUAUGACUUCUCAUCGCAUGGUGGGGGGUGGAAAGAUUUAUUGGUCUUGGAUGGACUCGCGGCCUAUCAGCUUGUUGGUGAGGUAAUGGCUCACCAAGGCGACGACGGGUAGCCGGCCUGAGAGGGUGACCGGCCACACUGGGACUGAGACACGGCCCAGACUCCUACGGGAGGCAGCAGUGGGGAAUAUUGCACAAUGGGCGCAAGCCUGAUGCAGCGACGCCGCGUGAGGGAUGACGGCCUUCGGGUUGUAAACCUCUUUCAGUAGGGAAGAAGCGAGAGUGACGGCACCUGCAGAAGAAGCGCCGGCUAACUACGU